This 497-nucleotide ribosomal RNA is filed under the name uncultured bacterium. RNAcentral describes it as "partial 16S ribosomal RNA". It matches the Rfam family "Bacterial small subunit ribosomal RNA", at positions 28 to 507 of the family's 1533-position model. The record is from RNAcentral.
GAUGAACGCUGGCGGCGUGCCUAAUACAUGCAAGUCGAGCGAACAGACGAGGAGCUUGCUCCUCUGACGUUAUCGGCGGACGGGUGAGUAACACGUGGAUAAACUACCUAUAAGACUGGGAUAACUUCGGGAAACCGGAGCUAAUACCGGAUAAUAUAUUGAACCGCAUGGUUCAAUAGUGAAAGACGGUUUUGCUGUCACUUAUAGAUGGAUCCGCGCCGCAUUAGCUAGUUGGUAAGGUAACGGCUUAACAAGGCAACGAUGCGUAGCCGACCUGAGAGGGUGAUCGGCCACACUGGAACUGAGACACGGUCCAGACUCCUACGGGAGGAAGCAGUAGGGAAUCUUCCGCAAUGGGCGAAAGCUUGACGGAGCAAAGCCGCGUGAGUGAUGAAGGUCUUAGGAUCGUAAAACUCUGUUAUUCGGGAAGAACAAAUGUGUAAGUACCUAUGCACGUCUUGACGGUACCUAAUCAGAAAGCCACGGCUAACUACGUG